GUGCUCGCUUUAGCAGCACAUAUACUAAAAUUGGAAUAAUACAGAGACGAUAAGCAUACCCCCACCCCCCACCCCGCCCCGAGCGCCAGGAUGACAUUCGAACUCAUGAAGCAUUCCAUAUUUUU
This 125-nucleotide small nuclear RNA is filed under the name Mustela putorius furo (domestic ferret). Lineage: Eukaryota; Metazoa; Chordata; Mammalia; Carnivora; Mustelidae. The record is from RNAcentral.